Molecule: ribosomal RNA, 262 nt
Filed under: uncultured bacterium
Lineage: Bacteria
Description: partial 16S ribosomal RNA
Rfam family: Bacterial small subunit ribosomal RNA
Source: RNAcentral
GUCCACGCCGUAAACGUUGGGCACUAGGUGUGGGUCUCAACCAACGAGAUCCGCGCCGUCGCAAACGCAUUAAGUGCCCCGCCUGGGGAGUACGGCCGCAAGGUUAAAACUCAAAGGAAUUGACGGGGGCCCCGCACAAGCAGCGGAGCGUGUUGCUUAAUUCGAUGCAACGCGAAGAACCUUACCUGGGCUUGACAUGUACGGAAAAGCCGUAGAGAUACGGUGUCCUUCGGGUCGUACACAGGUGGUGCAUGGCUGUCGU